UCCGAAGGGGGCUAGCGUUGUUCUUCUUUCCUGGGCGUAAAGCGCAUGUAGGCGGAUAUUUAAGUCAGAGGUGAAAUCCCAGGGCUCAACCCUGGAACUGCCUUUGAUACUGGAUGUCUUGAGUAUGGAAGAGGUGAGUGGAAUUCCGAGUGUAGAGGUAAAAUUCGUAGAUAUUCGGAGGAACACCAGUGGCGAAGGCGGCUCACUGGUCCAUUACUGACGCUGAGGUGCGAAAGCGUGGGGAGCAAACA
RNAcentral lists this ribosomal RNA (251 nucleotides) under uncultured Bartonella sp. Its description in RNAcentral is "partial 16S ribosomal RNA". It matches the Rfam family "Bacterial small subunit ribosomal RNA", at positions 524 to 774 of the family's 1533-position model. The record is from RNAcentral. Lineage: Bacteria; Pseudomonadati; Pseudomonadota; Alphaproteobacteria; Hyphomicrobiales; Bartonellaceae.